GACGAACGCUGGCGGCGUGCCUAAUACAUGCAAGUUGAGCGCUGAAGGUUGGUACUUGUACCGACUGGAUGAGCAGCGAACGGGUGAGUAACGCGUGGGGAAUCUGCCUUUGAGCGGGGGACAACAUUUGGAAACGAAUGCUAAUACCGCAUAAAAACUUUAAACACAAGUUUUAAGUUUGAAAGAUGCAAUUGCAUCACUCAAAGAUGAUCCCGCGUUGUAUUAGCUAGUUGGUGAGGUAAAGGCUCACCAAGGCGAUGAUACAUAGCCGACCUGAGAGGGUGAUCGGCAACAGUGGGACUGAGACACGGCCCAAACUCCUACGGGAGGCGGCAGUAGGGAAUCUUCGGCGAUGGACGAAAGUCUGACCGAGCAACGCCGCGGGAGUGAAGAAGGUUUUCGGAUCGUAAAACUCUGUUGGUAGAGAAGAACGUUGGUGAGAGUGGAAAGCUCAUCAAGUGACGGUAACUACCCAGAAAGGGACGGCUAACUACGUG
This 497-nucleotide ribosomal RNA is filed under the name uncultured bacterium. RNAcentral describes it as "partial 16S ribosomal RNA". It matches the Rfam family "Bacterial small subunit ribosomal RNA", at positions 28 to 507 of the family's 1533-position model. The record is from RNAcentral.